GACGAACGCUGGCGGCGUGCUUAACACAUGCAAGUCGAACGGAAAGGCCCUGCUUUUGUGGGGUGCUCGAGUGGCGAACGGGUGAGUAACACGUGAGUAACCUGCCCUUGACUUUGGGAUAACUUCAGGAAACUGGGGCUAAUACCGGAUAGGAGCUCCUGCUGCAUGGUGGGGGUUGGAAAGUUCCGGCGGUUGGGGAUGGACUCGCGGCUUAUCAGCUUGUUGGUGGGGUAGUGGCUUACCAAGGCUUUGACGGGUAGCCGGCCUGAGAGGGUGACCGGCCACAUUGGGACUGAGAUACGGCCCAGACUCCUACGGGAGGCAGCAGUGGGGAAUAUUGCACAAUGGGCGGAAGCCUGAUGCAGCAACGCCGCGUGCGGGAUGACGGCCUUCGGGUUGUAAACCGCUUCCGCCUGUGACGAAGCGUGAGUGACGGUAAUGGGUAAAGAAGCACCGGCUAACUACGUGCCAGCAGCCGCGGUGAUACGUAGGGUGCGAGCGUUGUCCGGAUUUAUUGGGCAUAAAGGGCUCGUAGGUGGUUGAUCGCGUCGGAAGUGUAAUCUUGGGGCUUAACCCUGAGCGUGCUUUCGAUACGGGUUGACUUGAGGAAGGUAGGGGAGAAUGGAAUUCCUGGUGGAGCGGUGGAAUGCGCAGAUAUCAGGAGGAACACCAGUGGCGAAGGCGGUUCUCUGGGCCUUUCCUGACGCUGAGGAGCGAAAGCGUGGGGAGCGAACAGGCUUAGAUACCCUGGUAGUCCACGCUGUAAACGGUGGGUACUAGGUGUGGGGUCCAUUCCACGGGUUCCGUGCCGUAGCUAACGCUUUAAGUACCCCGCCUGGGGAGUACGGCCGCAAGGCUAAAACUCAAAGGAAUUGACGGGGCCCCGCACAAGCGGCGGAGCAUGCGGAUUAAUUCGAUGCAACGCGUAGAACCUUACCUGGGUUUGACAUGGAUCGGGAGUGCUCAGAGAUGGGUGUGCCUCUUUUGGGGUCGGUUCACAGGUGGUGCAUGGCUGUCGUCAGCUCGUGUCGUGAGAUGUUGGGUUAAGUCCCGCAACGAGCGCAACCCUUGUUCACUGUUGCCAGCACGUUAUGGUGGGGACUCAGUGGAGACCGCCGGGGUCAACUCGGAGGAAGGUGGGGAUGACGUCAAGUCAUCAUGCCCCUUAUGUCCAGGGCUUCACGCAUGCUACAAUGGCUGGUACAGAGAGUGGCGAGCCUGUGAGGGUGAGCGAAUCUCGGAAAGCCGGUCUCAGUUCGGAUUGGGGUCUGCAACUCGACCUCAUGAAGUCGGAGUCGCUAGUAAUCGCAGAUCAGCAACGCUGCGGUGAAUACGUUCCCGGG
RNAcentral lists this ribosomal RNA (1343 nucleotides) under uncultured bacterium. RNAcentral describes it as "16S ribosomal RNA". It matches the Rfam family "Bacterial small subunit ribosomal RNA", at positions 28 to 1378 of the family's 1533-position model. The record is from RNAcentral.